AUGGCGGAGAACCUGGGCGUGAGGGGCCACACGUACAUGACGAGGUUGGCCACGUCACAGGCAGUGAGGAUGAACUACUACCCGCCUUGCCCGGAGGCGCAGGUGGACAGGGUGCUGGGCCUGUCGCCGCACUCGAACGCCGUCGCGCUAACCCUGCUGCUGCAGGUUAGCCCGGUCCACGGGCUGCAGAUCAGGAGGAACGGCGGGUGGGUCCCGGUCAUGCCGCUCCCCGGCGCCCUUGUCGUCAACGUCGGCGAUGUGGUUGAGGUGCUGACCAACGGGAGGUACAAGAGCGUCGAGCAUAGGGCGGUGGUGAACGCAUGCGAGCAGCGGAUGUCCAUCGCGGCGUUCCACAGUGCGAAGUUCGGUGGCAUGUACGGAACGCUGAAAGAGGUCGUCGGAGACAACGAGGCCCGGUACAGGACUGUCAGCGUCGAGGAGUACACCAAGCUUAUGCUCUCCAGCAAGCUCGACGGCAAGAACAUCAUAGACGCAAUGAAGAUCAAUUGA
This 510-nucleotide ribosomal RNA is filed under the name Triticum aestivum (bread wheat). RNAcentral describes it as "partial small subunit ribosomal RNA". The record is from RNAcentral. Lineage: Eukaryota; Viridiplantae; Streptophyta; Magnoliopsida; Poales; Poaceae.